This 253-nucleotide ribosomal RNA is filed under the name uncultured bacterium. RNAcentral describes it as "partial 16S ribosomal RNA". It matches the Rfam family "Bacterial small subunit ribosomal RNA", at positions 524 to 776 of the family's 1533-position model. The record is from RNAcentral.
UACGAAGGGGGCUAGCGUUGCUCGGAAUUACUGGGCGUAAAGCGCACGUAGGCGGAUCCUUAAGUCGGUGGUGAAAUCCUGAAGCUCAACUUCAGAACUGCCUUCGAUACUGGGGACCUUGAGUUCGGGAGAGGUGAGUGGAACUGCGAGUGUAGAGGUGAAAUUCGUAGAUAUUCGCAAGAACACCAGCGGCGAAGGCGGCUCACUGGCCCGAUACUGACGCUGAGGUGCGAAAGCGUGGGGAGCAAACAGG